Molecule: non-coding RNA, 119 nt
Organism: Acanthosepion pharaonis
Lineage: Eukaryota; Metazoa; Mollusca; Cephalopoda; Sepiida; Sepiidae
Source: the annotation of a GenBank genome assembly
UUACGGCCAUGUCACAAUGAAACACCUCUUCCCAAUGUAUGUGAUCACCGAAGUUAAGCAACCUCGUUCUUGGUCAGUACCUAGAUGGGUGACUGCUUGGGAAUACCAGGUACUGUAAU